Non-coding RNA from Schizosaccharomyces pombe (fission yeast), 2036 nucleotides. The record is from the annotation of a GenBank genome assembly. NCBI's taxonomy places the organism in Eukaryota, Fungi, Ascomycota, Schizosaccharomycetes, Schizosaccharomycetales, Schizosaccharomycetaceae.
CCACAUGGCAGCAAAGUCAUGACGAUUAAGAUCGAAUGCAGCAAAUAGUUCUCCCUGCAGACCAAGCAGUAAUGUUAGAGUACGAUAUACUGAGUAGUGAAAUGAAACGGAGUCAAGAGCUGAAUCGGAUUCUUUCCUUAAGAAGUAUUUUGAUUCAUUAUAACCAGUCUGCAAAGCUAUUUCUCGGUUAUUGGGGCGCUGAUCUGCUUGACGACCACGCCCGACAUAUAUUGAGCCAAAAUCAGCGCCACUAGUAACUUCACCGGGAAUAAAAAAAUUCUCUUUUCCUAUUUCACGAGCACAUUGGCGAAUAUAAGCGCUCCAAUCUCCAAGGAAAUCAGCUGUAAUUUGAGUGGCCUUAUCAACACGGAUUCCAUCAAUAUCGAGCAUUUUUACAGCUAAACAUCCUAAAUGUUUAAGCUUUUUAGCAACAAUUGGGUCCCAAUCUCUCAAUCUAUCUUGCACUGAAGCAAAAUUUGACAGUUGGCGCCACCAAGGAGGAUGAUUACCAAAAGCUUCGACAUCUCCAUAGUGGUCGAAAUCACCACUUAGACACAUAACUUCAGAAAUCGAAUUAAGGUCUUCGGUAUUAUUGAUUGGAAGACCCGUAACAUCCCAAAAGGUAGGGGCAUUACAAGAAUACGAAGACCCGUUAGACAAUUGAAAAUCUGUGUAAUGAUAUUCUGGGUGCUUAUACUUCAUUUUAUAUCCUUUGGUGCUAAAAGGAGCAGAAGUAUUCGCGAACGACAUUGAAGAAUUCACGAAAUAGCUAAGCUCAGAAAGAGUAGAUAUAGUAAAAUCAACUACUACAUAAAACCCUCUCUCAUGCAAUUUCAUUAUUGCUUCAUGCCAUUGAUUGAGAGUUCCAGUAUGCUUGUCGAGCAAAGUAAAAUCAAGGGGAGAGUAGCCAUCUGGGUACCAAGGCAAGUUCUGGAACGGUGUACCAGCUAUAUAAACAGCUUUAAUGCCCAUGCUUUCAAGAUAAUCUAGGGACCUUGGAGUUACAAGUCCAACAAUAUCACCACCUGCCCGAAAUGUAACUUCAUAAGGGUCAGAUUCAAAGACAGUAUCUUCAGCAACAUCAUUUUCGGGAACUCCGUUGGUCCAUUUAUCCAGGAUAAUGGUGUAAAAAGGUAGCGCUCUCCAGUUAGAUGGAGAAGGAAAAUACUCAUGAGAAUUCCAUUCGGCACUAUAAUCCAAAAUUUUUUGAGCUGUCCAAUUACGAUUUAGAUUCCAAGGUUCAUUUUCAUCAGUAAGGAAGGCUGCUGUUAUAAUUUGGAUAAAUAGGAAAAAUAUUAACAAAAUUGUAGGUAUGCUAAAGAAGAGCAUCUUUGAUACAAAAAGAUAGUAACAACACCUUUAUUUUAACCUAAAAGAAGGACAAAAAUUGAACUAGAAAAGAAAGUAAAUGGAAUUUGAGUGAUGAAACACCUUCACCUAACUUCCAAAUCUCGAGCAGAAUUUAAGUGAUUUUGAAUAGGUUGAAAACUAACGAAAAAAAUAAGAUGACCUUGUCUACCUGCUGAGACUGCUAUGAACAUCGUAACCAUUAUGACUGAACAUUGAUGUCAGGUGUUAUCAAUCAAUGGCAGACAAUUGAUGAUAUUUUGAUGAAAGAUUUGUGAAAUGUAACCUUCUUUUCAUAUGGAUCACAAUUACUUCAAGGCCCCAUCAUCAUAGACGCAUCUUCAACAACCCAUAUGUAAAAACCACUUAAAUGGAUUCGUUACAUGUGAUACACGGGACAGAGCAAACCUGACAACAUUUGCUUUCGUUGAUUGUGUAACCAUCGCUAAAAGCUUUCUGCCUAAUCACUUCCUAGCAAUUCGAAAAUUAAGUACCAUUGUCAUAGUCUAGAGAUUCACCACCAGUUCUGGUCAGUUAAUUAGCUUGAAAUGUAUUUCAAAACAUAAGCAUAUAUAGUAAUUGAAUGAUUAAGUUGCUAAAUUAGAAUCAGAAGAUUCAAUUUCAGUAACAUAAAAGGACACGUCUUUUUGCUAAAGAUAUCGUCCAUCAAAAAACUUCGCUUUUCCAAA